UAGAUCUGGGGAAUGUUUUAGACUCAGCAGUUCUGGAUUUCAGCAUAGUAUAUGAUAAAGUCUGGCAUACUAUGGACUCUUUGUGGGACAGUAUUUGGAAAAGGAUGAAAGACUAGCUUCAGAGAAUGGUGGCCUACCUCCCACCAAGCCAGGGCCAACAGCUAGACUGUAGAAGUAUCUUCUAAAGUAUGUCUCAAGCUGGGGGUUGUGACAUCUUGAGGAUUGUCGAGUCCUACACACCAGGAGGAAUAGCACUACGGUACUCCGAGAACUACAACAGCUGCCUUCAUUGUGGACAAUUCUGCUAUGAUAAUUCCUCUCUUCAGCCUUUUGUAUUUUCUCAUUCAUUCAUUCAUUCAACAAACAUUGACUAAAGUGCCUUUAGUGUGUAUCAAGCAAGUACUAAGCCAGCGGGGAAGCUAACAGAUUUUAAAAUAGAUUUAAUUUAAUUCAAGAAAUACUUAUCAAGCAAGGUUGUGUGAGCAAGCCACUGUGUUAGGCCUUAGGGAUACAAGUACCAAAAGGAAACAGUCCCAGCCUGAAGAGAUUCUUCAGUGGGAAUGGGAAGGAGACAAUACAACCUAGACAUAAGUAAAUAGAAAGUGCAUCCAAGUCAAUAAAAACAAAGCCAUUUCAUGAAAAUAAA
Long non-coding RNA from Monodelphis domestica (gray short-tailed opossum), 646 nucleotides. RefSeq lists it as uncharacterized. Lineage: Eukaryota; Metazoa; Chordata; Mammalia; Didelphimorphia; Didelphidae. The record is from RefSeq and is a predicted model, not a curated record.